Molecule: long non-coding RNA, 1199 nt
Filed under: Coturnix japonica (Japanese quail)
Lineage: Eukaryota; Metazoa; Chordata; Aves; Galliformes; Phasianidae
Description: lncRNA (ENSCJPG00005014350.1)
Source: RNAcentral
AGGGUCAUACAUAAGUUACUGUAAUUUUGCAGCUGCUUUCUAAUACCUCAUAAUCAUUAAGAAGUGGAGGAGUAACAAUACUGAUGAAAGCAAGUAUCAGAUCCUAAAAGAUUAAUUAAAAACUCUAUUAUUUAACACUCUCAAUUUAACAGGCCUGGACUGACCUUUCCUCCUCAGUUAAGAACAAAAACCCCAGAGCAAACAAAAUAACAACCCCACACACCUGCUUUUUUUUGUGGUAGCUCACCUGUUUGUCUGAUAGCUCACCUGAAUCAGGUGUUUUUUACUCAAUAAAAGAGCUGCAAGCAGGGUAAUCAGUGGCUCUGUGUCAAUGUGCAGCAGCUGAGGAUCUGGUCUGAAAAGCAAUCAACAUCCUUCUUUUUGCUGUCUUGCAAAGUACCUGCGGCAGCUGCUCUGCAGGUCCCCUGCUGUGCAAAUCGCCCUUCACAGAGGAAGAUCUUCCUGUCAGUGACUGACGAGAGGUGCCAGGAGCAGGCUAGGAGACUUUUAAAACCCUCGACUUGGCAAAUCAGCAGCGCUAUGAAAAACUAUCACUUUGUUACUUUGGGUCUUUUGAGGAGAAGACUUCAUAGACUUGAAAGUUUCCUGUUUAUGAAAAGCCUAAAUGUAAAAGAAGAGAUCUGGCGAUCAGCCCCAUAUCUAACUGAUCACAAGAAUAAGCAUUUCUAUGGCAUUCCUGCUACGAGACCUCACUGGUAACAUUUUUCCUUGAACUCUAUAUCCUGAAAAUAACACAGGGCUUUAUGAAGGAAGCUGGAGGCAGUUCUCAUUAGUCUCACUGACAUCUUUUAUCACUUAUCAGAGGAACAAGCAAACGGAGAGCAAUUCCUUUGAUCAUGGCAAAAGUAGAAAGAGUAUUAAAAACCCUAUGAAGAUUCACUAAGUAGAAAGUGGAAAAGACAGUCUGUGGCAUGUUUCAAAGAAGUAACAUGAUUUAAAGUUGCCAGAUUUGCUUGUAUAUAUUAAAGAAUUGUUAAUGAUGCUACAUUUUACAUGCAUCCCAGGGUGGGUUUUUUUGUUGUUGUUGUUUUUGUUUGAAGAAGAGGCGAAGGAGUUCUGAAGUAGAAUGGAUGGAUUAGAGCAAUUGGAAAAUAUCUCUAAAGGGUGAACUGUGUCAGAAAGGAAUCCAGAGAUUCAAUGAAAAUUGUUGAAAAUAAAAAUAAGGUUGUACGGUGCCA